Long non-coding RNA from Liolophura sinensis, 150 nucleotides. RefSeq lists it as uncharacterized. Lineage: Eukaryota; Metazoa; Mollusca; Polyplacophora; Chitonida; Chitonidae. The record is from RefSeq and is a predicted model, not a curated record. The transcript is spliced from 3 exons.
UCAGAAACCAAAGGUUUUCCUCAUUCACAGAACAGAAGAGAAAGGGUUGGUUCCAUCUACACAAAAAAAGUGGGCGCACAAAGGAUGCAGCUGACAUCUCACUUGUCCUCCAGGUUGGAACAAUGAACGCUUUGCUGCCCAAGUCCAUCC